UACGGAGGGGGCUAGCGUUGUUCGGAAUUAUUGGGCGUAAAGCGGGUGUAGGUGGCUUUGUAAGUCGAGUGUGAAAGCCUGGGGCUCAACCCCAGAAGUGCAUUCGAUACUGCGAAGCUUGAGUGCCGGAGAGGUUAGUAGAAUUGUUGGUGUAGUGGUGAAAUACGUAGAUAUCAACAGGAAUACCGGAGGCGAAGGCGGCUAACUGGCCGGACACUGACACUGAGACCCGAAAGCGUGGGGAUCAAACAGG
Molecule: ribosomal RNA, 253 nt
Filed under: uncultured bacterium
Lineage: Bacteria
Description: partial 16S ribosomal RNA
Rfam family: Bacterial small subunit ribosomal RNA
Source: RNAcentral